AGUGAAGCGGGAUGAGCUCAAAUUUAAAAUCUGGCUGGUUUACUAGUCCGAAUUGUAGUUUAUAGAAGCGUUUUCGGUGGCAGCCUGGGUAUAAAUCCUUUGGAAUAGGGUAUCAUAGAGGGUGAGAAUCCCGUCUUUGACUCAGUGCAUGCUACUAUGUGAUACGUUUUCAAAGAGUCGAGUUGUUUGGGAAUGCAGCUCAAAAUGGGUGGUAAAUUUCAUCUAAAGCUAAAUAUUGGCGAGAGACCGAUAGCGAACAAGUACCGUGAGGGAAAGAUGAAAAGAACUUUGAAAAGAGAGUUAAACAGUGCGUGAAAUUGUUGAAAGGGAAACGCUUGACACCAGUCAUGCGAGUGGAAAAUCAGUCUUUUGCAGUGGGGAGUUGUGGGCGUUCAGACCGCAAGGCUGGCGUUUGCUUCAUCUUUGUUGUAAGUGAUGCACUUUUUCAUUUGCAGGUCAACAUCAGUUUGCUUUGCUGGACAAAACCCCAAGGGAAGGUGGCAGCUUAGGCUGUGUUAUAGCCCUGGGGCGAUACAGUGGAGUGGACUGAGGUUUUCGCAGUGUGUGCUCUCUGGGCAAGGCUGACUGGGUGCUAUGGGAUCGUUCGGCGUACAAUGCAUGCAUUUUGCGCCGUGUCUUUUUCAUACUCGCUCAACUCGGCUCUUCCACACUUAGGAUGUUGACUUAAUGGUUUUAAUCGACC
RNAcentral lists this ribosomal RNA (703 nucleotides) under Linnemannia longigemmata. RNAcentral's name for it is "eukaryotic LSU rRNA". It matches the Rfam family "Eukaryotic large subunit ribosomal RNA", at positions 92 to 649 of the family's 3401-position model. Lineage: Eukaryota; Fungi; Mortierellomycota; Mortierellomycetes; Mortierellales; Mortierellaceae. The record is from RNAcentral.